This 3345-nucleotide long non-coding RNA is filed under the name Mus musculus (house mouse). Its description in RNAcentral is "long non-coding RNA chr11:96464623-96467968". The record is from RNAcentral. Lineage: Eukaryota; Metazoa; Chordata; Mammalia; Rodentia; Muridae.
GCAGCUCGCUGCGCCCGCCGUCCGAGCAGGCACACGUCCCUUAUCCCGCCUUCUGCUGCGGCCGCCCACUCGCUUCGCCAAAUGCAGGCUGUCGCCCUCCCGGAGGAGAUCUGUUGGCUCCUGGAAGGUAACUAACUCCUGGUUCAGUGCCAGACCUCUGUCCUGACCCAUCCCGUCCGGGAGGGCCUCUCAGUGCUGGGCUGAAGGCAAGAAAGGAGACACUAGGGUACUAGUUCUUUAGCCUGGUCACUUACCUACUAUAAGUUCCAGGCUUCCAGAGUCCUUAAUCCCCCAAUUGUCCCCAAAGCCCUAGCCUCUCUCUCAUCCUCAAGGUCCCCACCUCUCCCUUGAGUUACAUAUUUUCUGUUCCUUCUAGGCAUCUGUAUCACUUCCAGAUGCAUCAACACUUCCAGGUCUCUAAGGUCUUACGGGUCAGUUCAUGGCCUCCCUUGACACCUUGCUUGGUCUUGAACCUGUCACCCCGGGAAAUCCCUGAGGUGUGCAGUGAUUAGGUCUCAUCCUUCCCAGUCCUGACUCCUCACCUUGUGGAAGACCCACACCUUUCUGGGUAGACAUCUCCUAGGCACACAGUAGGGCUCUGGAGAUUUAUGGUCUUUGGGCCAAGCCUGGUGGUUAGGGGACGUCUUAUAAGUGUGAGAGUCAUUUCCUAACCUGAAGACUUCUAGGGGUGUCAUAAACCUCAGAGUAUGGUGUCCUUCCCUUCCCUAAGUGUCCUGUUGUGAUGGUUUCACCUUUAAAACUGUCCUUUACAGUUAAGGUCACACUUUCCGACACUCAACAUACACUCCGAAGAGACUUCCCUGAUGGACGGUAUCUUGUGCUUGGCUCCCAUGGUGAAAAUCAGUUUUACUCAUUUUCCUAUGACUGCCCUUCCCUUCCUGGGAGGACAGAAACCUGGAAUCUGCAGUUGCAUAAGGGUCUCAAGAGGAAACCGCUCAGAAUUAAGCCUUUCGGCAUCCAGGCGACACAUCUGACACAUCGUUAACAGAUGGCCUGCUUUGGGCAGGUCAUGAUUUUGGCAAGCUGCAUUCUUUCCAGUUUCUCUCAAUUUAAUUGGUUUUAUAUCUCCAUUACCUUGUUAUCUUGGGUAUAAAUGCCUCCUAAUCAAGGAUUUGGCCAGUGCUUUUGGAUUCUGUCUGUAGCCCUGUUUCUAUUCUGGAUAGCGUCUCUGUAAGAGUUGGCGGCUAUGUGUUUCUUUUGAGGCGAUGUUUCAAAAAUCUAUUUUAGAAAAAGGUUUUUAUCUAUUUUUGGAGUGUAUUGUGUGGGUGUGCAUGUGCCACAGCCUGUUUGUGGAGUUCGGGUGGCAACUGUUGGGAGUUGGCAUUCAUCUUGCAUCUUCUGGUGAUGGGGAUAGAACUCAUGUCUUCAGGCUUGGUGGCAAGCACCUUUAGUCACCACCACCCUCUCUUGUACUUAGGGGAUUGAAUCUAGAACCUUACACAGGGUCAUUAGACAUUCCACUACUGAGCUAUGUUCUCUAAAUUAUCUAAAAAUCCACUUAGCUUGUAAACCAAGAAACUGUAGAAAUAAAGUUAUUUGGAAGAUAGAAGAAAUCACCAGGCAUCUAACGAGAUUUAGCCAGUGCUGGUUCAAUAUUAGGUACAUAGAGGAAGUUGUACAAUUGUCUUUGGUUUUUAGAGAAGGAAUUGCAGCCACAAGUUGAAUUCUACCCUUGUAUUUAAAGACCGAGUGUCUCUUUUUAUUGGUGUCAGUCAUUUUAUGAGAAGAAACCCACUUUACAAGCUUGCUAAAUGUCACUUCAGUUUGGUGCACAGGCAUCAAUAGAAAAAUUCCCUCUUAUUUUCAGAGGCUAGCAACACAGUCCCCUCCUCCGACAUUUUUGAUGUGCAGUUCUUUAUUGUUCAAAACUGACACUUUGGUAAACAACUCAUUUUUGCACCUGCCGCCUUCCUUUAGCUCAGAUCGUUUUCUUGUUAGCUGACUGUUUUUAAUUGAAGUCUUCAGAUCUCCUUCUAAAGCAGAACCUUUGUUUGCUGACAAGCAGAGCCGGGUAUGAAUGGAGAUUAAUUGCGUGUCACAUACUUCUGUAUCAAACUUGCUGUGUCUUAACAAUCUCUGAUAGUGCGCGGGUCUUUAGAAGAUAGGGAGGAGUCUGAGGUUCCACUGUGAGGUGCUUCACUGGUUAACUGUUUCUUUAAAGCCAUCCCUCCCUUUAAACGUGUAAUUCUGCUCUUGAUUCUGAAGUGGAGGGAAAAAUAUAAAGUGGGAUAUAACCAAUGAUUCUAUUGAAAAGUGGUUAAAAAUAUGUUUUUGAAAGAUUCAUGUGAUGAUAAUAACAUAUUGGCUAUAGGUUUUUGUUUUUAAUGGAAUGCGGUCUCUAUCGUAAAACAGUCAAAUGAUUCUCUGUGUUACAACUUGUGAAUAUUAGACAUCUAAAAUGGCUGUCAAUUUGUUGUCUGGGUCUGGUUAUACGCCUCCUCCCACCACACACUUCUUAAGGUUCACCGUUAGCAGUUAAGAAAUCUGUAGGUCCUUGAUCUCUAUAUAGUCACUCAGUGGGAGGGAGUCACAGGAUAUGAGCUGUGACUGUGGCUGCCACACAGCACGGGGGUGGAGUUUCCCCAGUGAGUUACUGCUUUCAUAAACCAAGUCAGACGCAUUUGCACAGUGAUUUAAUGCCGGCCAUCACAGCCAUAACUUAAACAUUUAUCUAUUUGUAACAAUAGGAGCAUAAAAUGACAGGGACAUUUUUUUGAUAUAAUGUGUUCGCUUUUAAAAAAAUAAAAUAUGCAAGACACUGUGCAAGGUUUAUACCGAGAUUUUUGCAUAAUGAAGGUCUGGAAUUAAUUUUAAGUAUAAAAUUUUAAACAUUUGAAGAUGUCUCAUUUGACGUGGAAGUCCCACUUCUAGGAAUGUGAUAUAGAAAUUAAAUAUAUGUUUAUAUAUUGCAGAUGUCAAUGAGGUGGGAAAAGUAGGUGAUGGUCAAUUGGAUCAUGGGACAUCCAUCUUAGUUUGCAUCAAAAGAACUUGGAGAUCUGUGUGUCUGUCUGACGUCUGUCUAUCUUGGCUUGCAGUAUGUCCAUGGAGUGUUUUUAAGACUAAAAAGAUGUAAUAAACAACAGCACAUAUAAUGAUCCUUUUUCUAUUUGAAACCAAAAAGCCAAAAAAAAAAAAAAAAGUUCCAUAUAUUAUAUAGGUUUGUGUAAGCCUCAGGACAGUGUCCUGUCUCUUAGCAGUUUCUUUUUAAGGACAGAGAGACUCACAGGGGUUAAUGAUUUUUAAUACAUAUAUCUCCAGUUGGUUGAAUUGUGACAAAAGCCAUGUACUACUUCUUUAAUCAAGAAAGAGUGGUUAGAUAGGUUU